GGCACCAGGUUCCACCCUUUCAGCAUUGUGUAGCUACACUCUGAGAUCUUGUUCUUUCUCCCUCCACCUCUCAUCACUUCCCAGGCACUGGAACACCUAAAAGGGGAAGUCUUACCUGGCACCAGAGGAAUAUGAAUUAGAUAGAAAUCUAGACAAGAUUGGAGCUGAGAUGCCUGAUUCUUCGGUCAGCUUUACCUUCCCUCAGCUCUGUGAUACUGGGCAAGCCAGACUCCACCUGCCAAGAGAAGGCUGCGCCCAGUGACCCAUGCAUCUUCCUGUAUUUCCUUAGGAUAGAUCCUCAGGAGUCAGAAAAGUUACACAAAAGGAGUCUAUCUGGAUUGGACUAUGGGCCAGGAUCAAGAGGCCAGGAAGGAUGAAGGUCAUGUCCGGAGGCAAAAUGGAAAGGGACAACUGUGCAGCCAGUCCAAUCAAUGUAUCAACGUGGAGGGCCUGGGAGGAACAGCAAAAUCCAGAGAUAAGGCAAUAGACAAGACACCAGGGACGAUAAACUGUAUUUAGAAUGAAAGGUACCUUCUGUAACUUAAAUCCUGGAGUGGUGACCAGAGUCUCAGGUGAGCUUUAAAGGGUUCUAAGCCAUCUCAGAUUCUUUUCCAUUGCUUUUGCAAAAGACACUAAUGACAAACAGCCCAUGAAUAAAUGAGAGUUCCAGUGAAACCACUGUGAAUGAGUGAAUUAUUUUACCAUGAACAGGUUAGCAUUGGAUGUUACUAUUUUUAAAUUGUUAACUGAUGAAAUAUAAACUGGUAAUAUAAAAGUUGCUUUAAUUGUUAUUAUGAAUCCAAAGUCUAGAAGCACCUGGCAAGCUUAUUUAAUAAAUGCUUA
Long non-coding RNA from Manis javanica (Malayan pangolin), 843 nucleotides. RefSeq lists it as uncharacterized. The record is from RefSeq and is a predicted model, not a curated record. Lineage: Eukaryota; Metazoa; Chordata; Mammalia; Pholidota; Manidae.